AUCAACUUUCGAUGGUAGGAUAGAGGCCUACCAUGGUGGUAACGGGUAACGGGGUGUUAGGGCACGACACCGGAGAGGGAGCCUGAGAAACGGCUACCACAUCCAAGGAUGGCAGCAGGCGCGCAAAUUACCCAAUCCCGACACGGGGAGGUAGUGACAAUAAAUAACAAUACGGGGUCCUUUGGGUCUCGUAAUUGGAAUGAGUACAAUUUAAAUCUCUUAACGAGGAACAAUUGGAGGGCAAGUCUGGUGCCAGCAGCCGCGGUAAUUCCAGCUCCAAUAGCGUAUAUUAAAGUUGUUGCAGUUAAAAAGCUCGUAGUUGAAUUUCGGGGUUAGUAGGUUGGUCAUGCCUCUGGUAUGUACUGAUCUCACUGAUUCCUCCCUCUUGACGAACUGUAAUGUCAUUAAUUUGGUGUUGCAGGAAAUCAGGACUGUUACUUUGAAAAAAUUAGAGUGUUUAAAGCAGGCUUAGGCUUGAAUACAUUAGCAUGGAAUAAUGAAAUAGGACGUUUGAACCUAUUUUGUUGGUUUCUAGGAUCGACGUAAUGAUUAAUAGGGAUAGUUGGGGGCAUUAGUAUUCAAUUGUCAGAGGUGAAAUUCUUGGAUUUAUUGAAGACUAACUACUGCGAAAGCAUUUGCCAAGGAUGUUUUCAUUAAUCAAGAACGAAAGUUAGGGGAUCGAAGACGAUCAGAUACCGUCGUAGUCUUAACCAUAAACUAUGCCGACUAGGGAUCGGAUGAUGUUAAUUUUUUAAUGACUCAUUCGGCGCCUUACGGGAAACCAAAGUGUUUGGGUUC
RNAcentral lists this ribosomal RNA (798 nucleotides) under uncultured Glomeromycotina. RNAcentral's name for it is "SSU rRNA". It matches the Rfam family "Eukaryotic small subunit ribosomal RNA", at positions 314 to 1114 of the family's 1831-position model. Lineage: Eukaryota; Fungi; Glomeromycota. The record is from RNAcentral.